AGGCUGGACACUUCACAUCCUUCACAACUGCUGCCAAGUAGUGACGAAGCUGCUCACUUGAUCAGCUUCAGGAGAUCAUUUUUCAGUGCACUGCCUUUCUGGGCCCGAAGCUCUCCAGCAACUAGAAAGACUGUCUUUGUCCGCUCAGCCCCACUGCUCCUUCUCGCCGCACUCCUGGGUAACAUCUGCUGGUGUGCUUCCCAUCUUCUUCACAAAUACCCCCAAAACACACUGACGCACCAGGCUGCUGAUGCUUGUUAAUCAAACCCAUCCUGGGUGCUUUUUCAUCUGACUGAAUUUUUUUUGGAAGAAGUUAUUUACUGAAAACUUACAUUAAUUUGAAAAUGAAACGUUCUCUUUCCUCCUGCCCUGAUAAUGAUUCUUCUUUGUCCUAUUGGAAGUUACUUUUUUUUCACUUUUUAUUUUAGUAUCUUUAAUCAUCUUUAGUUUAAGUAAAUUAAACUUGAAGAAUUUUUCCAAACAACGCUGAAACUACUGUCACAUACUCCUGAAAGGAGACUUCUUUUCUAUACUAACCCAGGUGCUUCUUACAAAUUUUACUUUAUAGAAUUUAAUGAAAGGAACUUCUAUAACCCAUAAUUAGAUUACUCCAAGAAAUGAAAUAAUAUUUAAGCUAUCACAACAGUUAAAUGUUGUUAGGAAGAAAGAUUAUUAUGCAAACCCCAAUGGCCAAACUCUCAUAGAUUUUCCUAAAAAGGUUUGUAUAUGUGAGUAUCUUUGUGUGUUUACACAUAAAAUUUCUGUUUGAAUGAUAGGCUAUAUGGAAUCAGCCCAUGUUAAAAAUAUCAGACUGUACUGGAUGAACUGGAAUGAGUUCUCACCUAGAAAUCAAAAUACAUUAGCUCUUAAAUAAUAGCAUUUAUGUAACUACAAUUACUUAUUGAAUGUCUAUUUUGUACUAAGUCCUAUGCAUAUAUACCUCAUUAAUCCUUCCCACACAUGUGUGAAACAAAUAUUAUUUUCCCAUUUUGCAGAUUAGGAAACUGAGGCACAAAGAAAAUAAAUGAUUAUAAUGAUUAUAAAUACCAGAACCAAGGCCAGUCAUCUGAAUUUACUUAAUUCCUUUGAUUUCCAAGUUGAUCAGCAAGAAAGAAAUGUGAUCCAGUGACCUCAUUUCUACUCCACCUUGUCGCUCCUGUACUUUGGAUUCUCUCAGAUUUCUUGGCUAAGUGCCUACAGGU
Molecule: long non-coding RNA, 1202 nt
Organism: Manis pentadactyla (Chinese pangolin)
Lineage: Eukaryota; Metazoa; Chordata; Mammalia; Pholidota; Manidae
Exons: 3
Source: RefSeq, a predicted model, not a curated record